UGNGAAUUCAGUGCUCACUACUGUCUGGG
Molecule: non-coding RNA, 29 nt
Filed under: Mus musculus (house mouse)
Lineage: Eukaryota; Metazoa; Chordata; Mammalia; Rodentia; Muridae
Source: RNAcentral